Anolis carolinensis (green anole) is the source of this 3819-nucleotide long non-coding RNA. Lineage: Eukaryota; Metazoa; Chordata; Lepidosauria; Squamata; Anolidae. The record is from Ensembl.
AUGUCCCAAAACAAUCAUGGAGGAAAAAAUCAAGGCUUCACUGAGCAAAAUGCAACAAAGGAUCUGGGGAGGCAAAAUACAAAGAUGUGUUUCAAAGAGAAGCCUGAAGCCUGGGGUUCAUUGCAUAUUGAAGAUUCCUUUGCCAUGGUAGUCUUUGUGAUGAAAACACCGCACUUGAAAAUACAUGGAAACAGAGCAAGAAAUGAAGAAAAGUCUCACAGUGCCAGUCCUAGCCGCAGAGUAUAAGCAUCCACUUCAAAGCCAUCUACUGUACCUGCAACUACACAGUAACAGCUUUUUACAACCCAAAUAAGGAAUCUUGUGACUACUUGGAAGAUUAGUGACCAAAGAUCUCAUCACAUGGAGUCCAUAAGCCAGGAGACAGUGGAGGAAUCUGUGGGGCAGUAGGUGGAACCACCAGACAACUCCCCUCAAUGUCCCCUUACCAUCCCACACCAUUUCCCAUCUGCCCCCGGCUUCCAACCCCACUGUCCACAGCUUAGUCUAUGUGAACACUUGUUCUCAGGGCUGUGUCUUAGCUUCAGCUGUUUCCUGUAAUUAUAUAUUUAAACUGUCAGAUGACCACUAAUGGCUGCUCACACUAUAGAAUCCACAAUCAGCACGUAGAUACUGCGAAAAUGUGAGUAGACAAUUGUGACUAUUAUGCCUGGGAGUAAACACUAUGCUAAAUAUAGCAUUUGUUGAUAUGUCUAUUUUCACCUGGUCUAUAUAAAUCAUAUGUGAUAUCUUAUAAAGAGCACUGUAUUAGACCAUUUUCCUUUUAUCUUUUUAAGAAAACUUGAAGCUGAGCCAACAAUACAAAUAUUCAAAACAUUGCCGCUUACCAGAUGAAGGGUUAACUGAAACUGGAGUAAACCUGGGAACCAGUAGUAAAUGGCUUAUGUAAACAGCUUACUUCGGCUCACAGCCAGCCACUUUAAAAUAACAACUAUCUGACCGAGCUUCCUGGCUGGGAACUGUAAAUGACUGCAACAUUUGUUACAAACUGAAUCUACAGCCAAUUGACUGCAUUUACAUCCUGAGGAGUCCUAUAGAAUUACUCCAAGACUACAGAGACUUUGAUUUGUUUUGACUCCAAGCCAGGUUUGAGCCAAUUGAAUUGUACAUGGAUAUAAUUAGUUUUACAGCAUAUUAUAUGCCAUUUUGAAGAGACUGAAUAUACACAUACUGUGUUGCUAACAAACUUUAGUUGGAGUCUUGUUGAUACAUGUCUGAUAUAUGUUUUACACUGAAAACUGCUCUGUGUAGCAAUUAAAUCUGGAUGAUUGCAGUCUAAAAAACUUUAUAUUCUUUAAGUUACGACUGUGUGCCACUACAGCUGACAGAAUUGGAUCAUCAGUUGUAUUAUUAUUUGUAUUAUUGUUAACAUUAUUAUUUAUAUGAUGCUCUAAUAUACAUAUUGUGUUCUAUGUUUUGAACCUUUACUGUGGUGCAUAUUUUUCAGAUAUAGCUAUUACAGAUAGGCAACAACCAUUGAGGGCUGCAAUAUCAAUGGCUAUACUACUAUACAAAAUCCCAGAAUACUUGUAAAGUAUCUACACAAACACAAGAUGGUCUAUGUACAAAGAAAAUAUGUCCAAAUAGCAUAUAGUAUUAUUAAAGUUCCCCGUACAAAGCUCAGUUUGGUAGUACCAGACAAAAUGAAAAGGAGCAACACCUCUAACACAAAAAAUAUCCAAGUCCGAUAUUGGUUCCAAUGCAUAUAGGCUUCAGGGAUACAUAAUCAAUGAAAAUAUCUUCCAAACAAAGUAAACAGACGGUUGGUCAUGUUGCUGUAUAUUGGAAUGAAGAAAAUAAUGAUGGAGCACUGCUCUCAAGAAAGUCUUCGCAAGUAAAGUCCAAAUAAAGUCCCAAGUCUACAGGGGUUCCCAGGUAUUUUUGUACCCUGUUUCAAGGAGAAAAUCCCCUUCUUCAGGAGUUGGUAUACUCAGCAACAAUGAACUUAUUUCUAAAACAAAACAUAGAGUAACAAGUAUUUUACCAGCAGUAUCUUUCAAUAAAAUUAUUAUUAAAAAAAGAAACACGUUGGAGGUGCAUGUGCACACAUAUGAAAUGUAAAAACAUCAGUGCAAUAUUUUUUAAAGAUGUUAACAUUGUAACAGCUAUCCUGAUGAAACAGAAGGUUACAUUGACUAUGCUUGGCACUAGGGUGCAUGAAAAUUACUAUGAACCCAGAUUAUGCCAGGUUUGCAUCAAAGGGCUAGAAUUGAUGUGAAGAUAGUUGCACAUUGUAUGCUGCCAAUGCAAGCCCUUCACACAUUUUGCUAUAAUCAUUAUGAAUCAAAUCAUUUGUCUUUUAUUGAUGAUAUCAUUUCUGUUCAAAAUGUGAAGAAAGAGCAAUUUUACAGGGGCCUGGAGAUCUGCGUGAUCAUUAUAUACCUUGAUUACUGAUUGUUUUAUGAAGGCAUAUUCCAAGGAAAAUGUCAUACUCAUUUAAAUCUCAGUUUCUUUUAUAAUCACAAAAAUGAUAACUUGACACAAGAUACUUUCUCUCUACACAUAUAAUUUCUUCAACAUUCAGAAUACUUAUAUUUCACAAAUAACCUUGUCAUAUACUCCUCCUACUGAAAGUUUAAGUCUGAAUUAGGCCUCAGUCUCAAACUUAUUAUAGACAUAAAGCCUAAGCAAGGGGGAAUUGAUGCUUCUAAGCAAGUAUAUAUUACAUCCUCUCUCCCAUGUAGAUUCAGCUAUCAAAUGUUCAUAUUCAUUUGUGUACACAGAGGCACAAAAAGCUAAAGUGCCACUAUCUCAGUCACCCAUGCAAACAAGCUGAACACAUUAAAGUUUUCUUGAGAAUUAUUUAUUGCUUGUGCAUAAAAUUGUUAAGGCAGCAGAUCUCUUUAUAGCCAUUUUAAAAUCAAUUUUAAAACAUACACCCCAGAGGAAGAGGGGAAUAGGGAAGGGUGGCUCCUUACACUAAGGAGGAAUCCUAGAACUAGAAGACACCACAUGGGACAUGCAGGAAAAGCAUAAUCAAAGCACCCCUGACACAUGGCCAUCCAGCCUCUGCUUAAAAGCCCCCAAAGAAGGAUCCUUGUGGACCAUAUUUUAGUUCUUGCGGAUCAUUAGUGGUCUGCUGACCACAGGUUGAGAACCACUGAUCUAGGGUGAUUGUGGAGAUGUGGCAGGGAGAAAUAUUUAUAUUCCACCGCUGCCACCAAAUUGUGGAGAUGUGGGGUAGAGGAGGAAUCUCUUUAUUAAUUAUAUUAUUAUAUUUUUAACUAUAUCCGCUGCCACCAAUAUAAAUAUGUUUUAUCUAACUGCUGCCACCAAUUGUGGAGAUGUCAGGCAGAAGGGAAUUUAUCUUCUUUAUUCUUCUUAUUUACUUUAGAUGGUAUCAUAACUUAGUUUUGAAUAUAGUGGACAGAGACUUGGAUAUCGAAGAACAAAAACAAGUUUAUUUCAGGGACAGAGCUUAGUGGUUACAGUAACUUCUUUAUAGGCACUUAGAUAAUGGUUGCAAAGAUUUUAACUGAUCACUUUGGAUCCAACUGUGAUUGCUUUCCCUUACUACUCAGACUCUACACAUAAACUCAAACAAGUCACCUAACUUGCUUAAUUUAACACAACUAGAGAUCUGAGUUUCCCUGGUUUCCCUAACCUGGAACCAGUGUCUUCUCUGUGACUAAAAAUCACAGACUAAACUGUUUUUUAAAACAUUCCCUCCUUUUCCUUCAAACGGCAGUUGGCUCCGCCCUCGUUACUAUGGUAACCUGCCUCAGAAUGCUGAGCUGGUUACCAUCCCCCACGCACUGGUAACUAAUACUUACCCUUUUAAACAUAUUUAAACAUGACUUU